GUGAGGAAUAUUGGUCAAUGGACGGAAGUCUGAACCAGCCAUGCCGCGUGCAGGAAUAAGGUCCUAUGGAUUGUAAACUGCUUUUAUUCGGGAAUAAACCUCUUUACGUGUAGGGAGCUGAAGGUACCGAAGGAAUAAGCACCGGCUAACUCCGUGCCAGCAGCCGCGGUAAUACGGAGGGUGCAAGCGUUAUCCGGAAUCAUUGGGUUUAAAGGGUCCGCAGGCGGGCUAUCAAGUCAGAGGUGAAAUCCCACAGCUUAACUGUGGAACUGGCUUUGAAACUGAUGGUCUUGAAUUAAGUGGGCGUUGGCGGAAUAUGACAUGUAGCGGUGAAAUGCAUAGAUAUGUCAUGGAACACCGAAAGCGAAGGCAGCUAACGAUACUUAUAUUGACGCUCAUGGACGAAAGCGUGGGUAGCGAACAGGAUUAGAAACCCGAGUAGUCC
Molecule: ribosomal RNA, 445 nt
Filed under: uncultured bacterium
Lineage: Bacteria
Description: partial 16S ribosomal RNA
Rfam family: Bacterial small subunit ribosomal RNA
Source: RNAcentral